This 465-nucleotide ribosomal RNA is filed under the name uncultured bacterium. RNAcentral's name for it is "partial 16S ribosomal RNA". It matches the Rfam family "Bacterial small subunit ribosomal RNA", at positions 28 to 507 of the family's 1533-position model. The record is from RNAcentral.
GACGAACGCUGGCGGCGUGCUUAACACAUGCAAGUCGAACGGAAAGGCCCUGCUUGCAGGGUACUCGAGUGGCGAACGGGUGAGUAACACGUGGGUGAUCUGCCCUGCACUUCGGGAUAAGCCUGGGAAACUGGGUCUAAUACCGGAUAGGAGCCAUUUUUAGUGUGAUGGUUGGAAAGUUUUUUCGGUGUAGGAUGAGCUCGCGGCCUAUCAGCUUGUUGGUGGGGUAAUGGCCUACCAAGGCGGCGACGGGUAGCCGGCCUGAGAGGGUGGACGGCCACAUUGGGAGUGAGAUACGGCCCAGACUCCUACGGGAGGCAGCAGUGGGGAAUAUUGCACAAUGGGCGCAAGCCUGAUGCAGCGACGCCGCGUGGGGGAUGACGGCCUUCGGGUUGUAAACUCCUUUCGCUAGGGACGAAGCUUUUUGUGACGGUACCUAGAUAAGAAGCACCGGCUAACUACGUG